GAGUUUGAUCGUGGCUCAGAUUGAACGCUGGCGGCAUGCCUUACACAUGCAAGUCGAACGGAUGACGGGAGCUUGCUCCUUGAUUCAGCGGCGGACGGGUGAGUAAUGCCUAGGAAUCUGCCUGGUAGUGGGGGACAACGUUUCGAAAGGAACGCUAAUACCGCAUACGUCCUACGGGAGAAAGCAGGGGACCUUCGGGCCUUGCGCUAUCAGAUGAGCCUAGGUCGGAUUAGCUAGUUGGUGGGGUAAUGGCUCACCAAGGCGACGAUCCGUAACUGGUCUGAGAGGAUGAUCAGUCACACUGGAACUGAGACACGGUCCAGACUCCUACGGGAGGCAGCAGUGGGGAAUAUUGGACAAUGGGCGAAAGCCUGAUCCAGCCAUGCCGCGUGUGUGAAGAAGGUCUUCGGAUUGUAAAGCACUUUAAGUUGGGAGGAAGGGCAGUAAGUUAAUAACCUUGCUGUUUUUGACGUUUACCGACAGAAUAAGCACCGGCUAACUCUGUGCCAGCAG
This 513-nucleotide ribosomal RNA is filed under the name bacterium enrichment culture clone ALO1_GLFRUDD03GRSSY. Its description in RNAcentral is "bacterial SSU rRNA". It matches the Rfam family "Bacterial small subunit ribosomal RNA", at positions 9 to 514 of the family's 1533-position model. The record is from RNAcentral.